RNAcentral lists this long non-coding RNA (504 nucleotides) under Populus trichocarpa (black cottonwood). Its description in RNAcentral is "long non-coding RNA (PTRI_LNC001050)". The record is from RNAcentral. Lineage: Eukaryota; Viridiplantae; Streptophyta; Magnoliopsida; Malpighiales; Salicaceae.
AACGAGAGAUUAUUAUUGUUGAACACACUUUGAAUUUUUAUAAUUAGGUUGUUUAGAAUUUCAAACGAGAUGUUUUAAGUGAAUGAAGACAACAUGGUUGAAUGAAGCAAUGAGGGUAAGAGAGAUAAUUAAACCUAUUACCAUUCUAAAGGUUAGGUUGUGCUGUUAUGAUAACUGAAUGAACAUGGCAGCAAUGGUGAUAAAACUUUAAUAAUAGAAUAUCUUAAAACUAGCACAAUCACAUGAUGGCUUAAUUAGAAUGUGCCAAUAUAUAUGUUUAAGGUUUAGAGCUAAGGUUUAGGAUUUCAGGUUAUUGUUUAGGGUUUAAGAGUGUAUAGGGUUAGAGUUUAAGAGUGUAUAGGUUUAAGAGUGUAUAGGGUUAGAGUUUAAGAGUGUAUAGGUUAGAGUUUAGUGUCUAGGAGGGUUUAGUAUUUGGUUUUAGGUACGUUUAAGGUUUAGAUGUUAGGGUUUGUGUUUGGGUUUUGGUUUACAGAUUGGUUUUGG